GGGGCUGACAUGGAUUUGACAGCAGGAUGAGGUGGUAUGUAAGCACGCAGUGAGCCGCUGGUCACUCACUAUAAUCCCUGGCUUCCGACAAUUUAUCUGGCGAAAAUACUUACGCUUUCGCUGCCUAAUCGAAGUACAGUAGAUAUGGCUUAAUCCCGGCACCAGGUGCUGAGACGAAAUGUCGCCCAAGAGCUCUUGCUCCGAAGCUCCUUGAACCGGCGGCACAGCAGAAUCGGGGAUAGCCUACAUCGGCCUCGCGGUGUAUGGCGAAGUUUUAGAGGAUAAGGCAUGGGUUGGUGGUCCGGGUCUUGCUCAUGCACGAAAACCGAAGUCCGGAAUAAGCGUGUAGAAAGCAUAUUGCGUCCCUGUUUGGACGAGGGUUCAAUUCCCUCCAGCUCCACU
Molecule: transfer-messenger RNA, 402 nt
Filed under: pig gut metagenome
Rfam family: transfer-messenger RNA
About the family: Bacterial tmRNA, also known as 10Sa RNA or SsrA, is named for its dual tRNA and mRNA-like properties. Its role is to liberate the mRNA from a stalled ribosome.
Source: RNAcentral